CAGAAUGCUCAGUGAAUGUUCAGCCUCCACCUAGCCUGACAAUGACCUUCACUACAUGGCGACCAGGACCCUGAAUGUCCCUGACUGCAUUGCUACAUUCUAGCUGCUGCUUCCUGUAGGGCUUUAGUCUCCAGGCCCAUGUCAUGGCCUGCCAGUGACCUGGGUGUGGGCCCUGUACUAUGAGAGUUGCGUUUCCACUUCUCAGUGACUUGCAGACCAGCUCCAGUUUGGGAAAAUCUGCAUACUCCCUGCUGCCCAGAGGCUCAGCAUGCUUUCCCCACUCCACCACCACUUCCACCUAUCAGAUCAUCAGAUAUUAGAUCCUGAAGGUUGGGGGCCCCUGUAUUACAGCAUAGAGACAGACACUGCAAAGAAUAGCUGUGGCAGGGUCUCCAAGAGAGGGCAAAUACCAAGAAAUACUAUAUGGUGACUUGAAAAUCAAGAACCAUAGGAAGCUGGAUGCAGCCUGGAGACUGGCAUAUAGAAUUCAGCUCUGCCUG
Long non-coding RNA from Odocoileus virginianus texanus, 500 nucleotides. RefSeq lists it as uncharacterized. The record is from RefSeq and is a predicted model, not a curated record. Lineage: Eukaryota; Metazoa; Chordata; Mammalia; Artiodactyla; Cervidae.